Molecule: ribosomal RNA, 253 nt
Filed under: uncultured bacterium
Lineage: Bacteria
Description: partial 16S ribosomal RNA
Rfam family: Bacterial small subunit ribosomal RNA
Source: RNAcentral
UACGGAGGGGACUAGCGUUGUUCGGAAUUACUGGGCGUAAAGCGCACGUAGGCGGCUUGUUAAGUCAGGGGUGAAAUCCUGGAGCUCAACUCCAGAACUGCCUUUGAUACUGGCGAGCUUGAGUUCGGGAGAGGUGAGUGGAACUGCGAGUGUAGAGGUGAAAUUCGUAGAUAUUCGCAAGAACACCGGUGGCGAAGGCGGCCUGCUGGGCAGUAGCUGACGCUGAGGCGCGACAGCGUGGGGAGCAAACAGG